AGUGAACGCUGGCGGUAGGCCUAACACAUGCAAGUCGAACGGCAGCACAGUAAGAGCUUGCUCUUACGGGUGGCGAGUGGCGGACGAGUGAGGAAUACAUCGGAAUCUACUUUUUCGUGGGGGAUAACGUAGGGAAACUUACGCUAAUACCGCAUACGACCUGCGGGUGAAAGCAGGGGAUCUUCGGACCUUGCGCGAUUGAAUGAGCCGAUGUCGGAUUAGCUAGUUGGCGGGGUAAAGGCCCACCAAGGCGACGAUCCGUAGCUGGUCUGAGAGGAUGAUCAGCCACACUGGAACUGAGACACGGUCCAGACUCCUACGGGAGGCAGCAGUGGGGAAUAUUGGACAAUGGGCGCAAGCCUGAUCCAGCCAUACCGCGUGGGUGAAGAAGGCCUUCGGGUUGUAAAGCCCUUUUGUUGGGAAAGAAAAGCAGCAGGUUAAUACCCCGCUGUUCUGACGGUACCCAAAGAAUAAGCACCGGCUAACUUCGUG
RNAcentral lists this ribosomal RNA (492 nucleotides) under uncultured bacterium. Its description in RNAcentral is "partial 16S ribosomal RNA". It matches the Rfam family "Bacterial small subunit ribosomal RNA", at positions 29 to 507 of the family's 1533-position model. The record is from RNAcentral.